GUACUUCCAAAGUACAUGCAUGUACUAAAAUUGGAACGAUACAGACAAGGUUAGCAUGGCCCCUGCGCAAGGAUGACACGCAAAAUCGUGAAGCGUUCCACAUUUUU
Dermacentor silvarum is the source of this 107-nucleotide small nuclear RNA. Lineage: Eukaryota; Metazoa; Arthropoda; Arachnida; Ixodida; Ixodidae. The record is from RefSeq and is a predicted model, not a curated record.